GAUGAACGCUGGCGGCGUGCCUAAUACAUGCAAGUCGAGCGAACAGAUGAGGAGCUUGCUCCUCUGACGUUAGCGGCGGACGGGUGAGUAACACGUGGAUAACCUACCUAUAAGACUGGGAUAACUUCGGGAAACCGGAGCUAAUACCGGAUAAUAUAUUGAACCGCAUGGUUCAAUAGUGAAAGACGGUUUUGCUGUCACUUAUAGAUGGAUCCGCGCCGCAUUAGCUAGUUGGUAAGGUAACGGCUUACCAAGGCAACGAUGCGUAGCCGACUUGAGAGGGUGAUCGGCCACACUGGAACUGAGACACGGUCCAGACUCCUACGGGAGGCAGCAGUAGGGAAUCUUCCGCAAUGGGCGAAGGCCUGACGGAGCAACGCCGCGUGAGUGAUGAAGGUCUUCGGAUCGUAAAACUCUGUUAUUAGGGAAGAACAAAUGUGUAAGUAACUAUGCACGUCUUGACGGUACCUAAUCAGAAAGCCACGGCUAACUACGUG
RNAcentral lists this ribosomal RNA (497 nucleotides) under uncultured bacterium. Its description in RNAcentral is "partial 16S ribosomal RNA". It matches the Rfam family "Bacterial small subunit ribosomal RNA", at positions 28 to 507 of the family's 1533-position model. The record is from RNAcentral.